Molecule: ribosomal RNA, 269 nt
Filed under: uncultured soil bacterium
Lineage: Bacteria
Description: partial 16S ribosomal RNA
Rfam family: Bacterial small subunit ribosomal RNA
Source: RNAcentral
AGAGUGAACGCUGGCGGUAGGCCUAACACAUGCAAGUCGAACGGCAGCACAGUAGGAGCUUGCUCUUACGGGUGGCGAGUGGCGGACGGGUGGGGAAUACAUCGGAAUCUACCUUUUGGUGGGGGAUAACGUAGGGAAACUUACGCUAAUACCGCAUACGCCCUUCGGGGGAAAGCCGGGGACCAGCAAUGGCCUGGCGCUGAUAGAUGAGCCGAUGUCGGAUUAGCUAGUUGGUGAGGUAAUGGCUCACCAAGGCGACGAUCCGUAGC